GACGAACGCUGGCGGCGUGCUUAACACAUGCAAGUCGAACGGAAAGGCCUUGCUUUUGUGGGGUGCUCGAGUGGCGAACGGGUGAGUAACACGUGAGUAACCUGCCCUUGACUUUGGGAUAACUUCAGGAAACUGGGGCUAAUACCGGAUAGGAGCACCUGCUGCAUGGUGGGGGUUGGAAAGUUUCGGCGGUUGGGGAUGGACUCGCGGCUUAUCAGCUUGUUGGUGGGGUAGUGGCUUACCAAGGCUUUGACGGGUAGCCGGCCUGAGAGGGUGACCGGCCACAUUGGGACUGAGAUACGGCCCAGACUCCUACGGGAGGCAGCAGUGGGGAAUAUUGCACAAUGGGCGGAAGCCUGAUGCAGCAUCGCCGCGUGCGGGAUGACGGCCUUCGGGUUGUAAACCGCUUUCGCCUGUGACGAAGCGUGAGUGACGGUAAUGUGUAAAGAAGCACCGGCUAACUACGUG
RNAcentral lists this ribosomal RNA (468 nucleotides) under uncultured bacterium. RNAcentral's name for it is "partial 16S ribosomal RNA". It matches the Rfam family "Bacterial small subunit ribosomal RNA", at positions 28 to 507 of the family's 1533-position model. The record is from RNAcentral.